UUUCCGUAGGUGAACCUGCGGAAGGAUCAUUCAUAAUAAGUGUUUUAUGGCACUUUUUUAAAUCCAUAACCACCUUGUGUGCAAUGUCAGGGUUGAUUUUUCUCUCGAGAGGAUCGACCCCAAACAUCAACUAUAUCUCAACUCUUUGUCUGAAAAAUAUUAUGAAUAAAACAAUUCAAAAUACAACUUUCAACAACGGAUCUCUUGGCUCUC
This 213-nucleotide unclassified non-coding RNA is filed under the name plant metagenome. RNAcentral describes it as "partial contains small subunit ribosomal RNA, internal transcribed spacer 1, and 5.8S ribosomal RNA". The record is from RNAcentral.